UACGUAGGGGGCAAGCGUUGUCCGGAAUCAUUGGGCGUAAAGAGCGUGUAGGCGGCCCGAUAAGUCCGCCGUGAAAGUCCAGGGCUCAACCCUGGAAUGCCGGUGGAAACUGUCGGGCUGGAGUCCGGAAGAGGCGAGUGGAAUUCCUGGUGUAGCGGUGAAAUGCGCAGAUAUCAGGAGGAACACCAAUGGCGAAGGCAGCUCACUGGGACGGUAUUGACGCUGAGACGCGAAAGCGUGGGGAGCAAACAGG
RNAcentral lists this ribosomal RNA (253 nucleotides) under uncultured bacterium. Its description in RNAcentral is "partial 16S ribosomal RNA". It matches the Rfam family "Bacterial small subunit ribosomal RNA", at positions 524 to 776 of the family's 1533-position model. The record is from RNAcentral.